AGACCAUUAGUUUAGAGAAAACAUUUGAUUUCGGCUCAAAAAACCGCGGCUCAUUACCGUGAUUGUCUU
RNAcentral lists this transfer RNA (69 nucleotides) under Halichoeres tenuispinis (Chinese wrasse). RNAcentral's name for it is "tRNA-Arg". It matches the Rfam family "tRNA". From Rfam's summary of the family: Transfer RNA (tRNA) molecules are approximately 80 nucleotides in length. Their secondary structure includes four short double-helical elements and three loops (D, anti-codon, and T loops). The record is from RNAcentral. Lineage: Eukaryota; Metazoa; Chordata; Actinopteri; Labriformes; Labridae.